UACUCUCUGCCGUCUCUCCAAAGCCCAAUCUAUCACGAAAGCCAUCGUUUUCAACAGAAACAUCUGGUAAAUCGCGAUGGAAACUUCACGGUAUAACAGAUACUUCUAUCCUCUCGACUCAUCGAUUGCUUUUCAAAUUUUAAUUGUAUAUUAAACUUUACGGAAUAAAAAUAGAAGCUCGGUUGAAACAUUGAUUCAAGGUAUUUCUGACCGAUUCUGUUAACUUUCCUGGAAUUGGAGGCCUGGAUAAAUUUCAAUUUAUAGCCGGAUGCUGCAGAGUUUUAUUAUUAAAACAAUAAAUGUACCUUGAAAUUUAUGGAAAUUAAAAUGCUUCAAAUGCAAAGAGAGAUUAUACAAAUGGAAAUCGAGUGGCUUACUUGGCUUGUUUUCCACGCUGCGAACCGUGACCCAUCACCCUCAUCUCUUUCGACACAUUCCCGUUCGCUGGUAAACCUUUCCUCAACCCGGAAGAGGGUAUGUUACCCUUGUACGUGUCCCCGGGGAUGAUCAGUAACCGCCGAGGCAGUCCAGGGUCUCCUUCGUGAUGUGGACUCGUCUACAGGGAGCAGUGGUAAUAAGCACUGAUUUAAUAGGACUUUUGAUCAUCCAUUGGACUUUAUAGGAGACUUGGAUCAAUUGUGAUUCCUUCAGAAGAAUUGGAAUACCUCAAUACGGUUAAUUAAAUUCAAUUAUUUGAUGAAUAUUGGUUGUUGCUGUUGGAGGAAAUAAGCAUUGAUUUAAUAGGGGUUUUGAUCAUCCAUUGGACUUUAUAGGAGACUUGGGUCAAUUGUGAUCCCUUCAGAAGAAUUGGAAUAUCUCAACAUUGUUGAUUAAAUUCAGUUAUUUGAUCUAGAGGAAAUAAAAUACCAUAAGAGAAAUGUGAAUUUUCAGAAAUAUUCCACCAUCAUGGAUGUUCCUUCUACGGUUACACGAAACUGGAGGAAAAAAAUUCAUGAAGAGAAAAAGAAUUGCUAACGCAAUUUCUAUGUCUUCCCUCGCUUCUGUUUGACGAAAACAAGGAACAAAGGUGGAAAGCGAAUCAACGUUGCAUUCUAUCGCACCAGUGAUCACGCUUCCAUUUCUUUUUUUCAAUAUCCUCGCGGAGUCUCAUCUCUCGCCUUGUAUAGGGAAUUGCACGCAAGGGAAAGGCGAAAGGAAACGUCUUAAGAGGCGGAAACGAAGUAAACGGGUCAAAGUAACCCGCAGACUCGAGAGACAACAGUCUAGGUUCUUGUUAUCCACCGUUGAAAAAGAGCGGCGCCUCGUCAAAGGGAUGAUUUCCUCGGAGAAUAAAGGUAGAAGAGAUUGGAUGUAAGAAUUCUAUGAAUUCCAAUGAUUUUUAAAAAUUAAAAGUUCUCUAGUUUCAUCAGAAACUGAUUUGCCGAGGUCACUUUCUUCCCAGCUGCUUUUUAUUGCCCCUGUGAUUCACUGUUACUCACCGCCCUCUUUCCCGGAGACAAAAGUUUGGUCGCGGGGACAGGAAUGCUCAAGGAUUUCACGAAAAGCCGGACGAGCUGAAUUACAAGGAGGGAAAACUCACUCUGACGACCUCCUCGGCGGUGCACUGGUCCGACAGCGAGGUGAAUCCGCAGAUAUCCGCGAACAGGAUGCUGGAAGAAAGAUUUUCAAAUAGGCUCUCCGUCGACGUCGGUUCACCGUAAUUAAGCGACGGGUGUUAAUUGGAAUUCAUUAGUGGCACGUCACCCGACUUAACGAGCUACUAGUGUCAGCCCCGAGUUACGGUCUAACGUAUGAUGGACGCGCGUGUAUCAGCUUGAUGCAUCAGGGAGUCGAAUAUCUUCGAAUUACUCGCUCUCCAAACAAGGACAGUUUUGAAACCCCGCUCACCUGACAUUCUCGUGUCUCUGAAUGUAAAUCUUGUGAAACAUAGUAUCCUUCGGCUUGCCAGCAAUGUCG
This is a long non-coding RNA of Osmia bicornis bicornis, 1917 nucleotides long. RefSeq lists it as uncharacterized. The transcript is spliced from 9 exons. Lineage: Eukaryota; Metazoa; Arthropoda; Insecta; Hymenoptera; Megachilidae. The record is from RefSeq and is a predicted model, not a curated record.